CCUACGGGAGGCAGCAGUGAGGAAUAUUGGUCAAUGGGCUUACGCCUGAACCAGCCAAGUCGCGUGAGGGAAGACUGCCCUAUGGGUUGUAAACCUCUUUUGUCAGGGAGCAAUUGGCGCUACGUGUAGCGUUAUCGAGAGUACCUGAAGAAAAAGCAUCGGCUAACUCCGUGCCAGCAGCCGCGGUAAUACGGAGGAUGCGAGCGUUAUCCGGAUUUAUUGGGUUUAAAGGGUGCGUAGGCGGAAUGCCAAGUCAGCGGGAAAAUCGCGGGGCUCAACCUCGCUACGCCGUUGAAACUGGCGUUCUUGAGUGGGCGAGAAGUAUGCGGAAUGCGUGGUGUAGCGGUGAAAUGCAUAGAUAUCACGCAGAACUCCGAUUGCGAAGGCAGCAUACCGGCGCCCAACUGACGCUGAAGCACGAAAGCGUGGGUAUCGAACAGGAUUAGAUACCCUAGUAGUC
Molecule: ribosomal RNA, 460 nt
Filed under: uncultured bacterium
Lineage: Bacteria
Description: partial 16S ribosomal RNA
Rfam family: Bacterial small subunit ribosomal RNA
Source: RNAcentral